AAAAUAUUUUUUUCCUUAGUAUGGAAGACAGAACAGGACCUAUGGAGCUAUAGAAAAAGUACCGCAAGGGAAAGCUGAAAAAGAAAUGAAAAAAGCCAGUUAAGAAUAAAAAAGCAGAGAUUAAACCUCGUACCUUUUGCAUCAUGAUUUAGCCAGCAACUUCAAGCAAAGAGCCCUUUAGUUUGAAACCCCGAAACUGAGUGAGCUACUCCAGGCCAGCCUAAAAAAUAGGGCACACCCUUCUCUGUGGCAAAAGAGUGGGAAGAGCUUUGAGUAGAGGUGAUAAACCUACCGAACCCAGUUAUAGCUGGUUGCCUGGGAACUGAAUAUUAGUUCAGCCUCUCAACUUCUUCCCUCCAAAUCCCACAACAUUUAUUAAGGGACAAAAAGAAGAAGAGAGAGUUAGUCAAAGGGGGUACAGCCCCUUUGAAACAGACACAACUUUUUUAGGUGGGUAAGGAUUAUACUUAUUCAAGGAAACAUGUUAAAGUGGGCCUAAAAGCAGCCAUCCUAACAAAAAGCGUUAAAGCUUAGACAUCAAAUUAUCCAGUUAUUCUAAUAUCUUACUCCAAACCCCCUAAUACUUACCAGGCCGCCCCAUUAAAAUGGAAGCGACCAUGCUAAAAUGAGUAAUAAGGAAGCACCGCCCUCCUCAUAGCGCAUCUGUACAUCGGAAUGGACAAACCCCCGAAAAUCAACGGCCCCAAAACACAGCGGGCAUUAAAAACCCCCUUAAAAUGCUAGAAAAACUUUUAAGCUAAACCGUUAACCCCACACAGGAGCACACCUAAAUGAAAGACUAAAAGAAAAAGAAGGAACUCGGCAAAACCUAUAAGCCUCGCCUGUUUACCAAAAACAUCGCCUCUUGCCCCCCCCCCGUAUAAGAGGUCCUGCCUGCCCAGUGACACUAAGUUAAACGGCCGCGGUAUUUUGACCGUGCAAAGGUAGCGCAAUCACUUGUCUUUUAAAUGAAGACCCGUAUGAAUGGCAAGACGAGGGCUUAACUGUCUCCUUUUUCCAGUCAAUGAAAUUGAUCUUCCCGUGCAGAAGCGGGAAUACGCCCAUAAGACGAGAAGACCCUGUGGAGCUUAAGACAAUAGAACCGCCCACGUCAAUCACUGCAAAAUAAAGCCAAACAAACUAAUUGGUUUCUGUUCUAAUGUUUUCGGUUGGGGCGACCAUGGGGAACAACAAAACCCCCACGUGGACUGGGAGUAACCUCCACACUCCUACAAAUCAGAGGGACACCUCUAGUUACCAGAACUUCUGACCUUAAAUGAUCCGGCAAUGCCGAUCAACGAACUAAGUUACCCCAGGGAUAACAGCGCAAU
RNAcentral lists this ribosomal RNA (1331 nucleotides) under Aesopia cornuta. RNAcentral's name for it is "16S ribosomal RNA". It matches the Rfam family "Bacterial large subunit ribosomal RNA", at positions 394 to 2486 of the family's 2925-position model. The record is from RNAcentral. Lineage: Eukaryota; Metazoa; Chordata; Actinopteri; Pleuronectiformes; Soleidae.